This is a non-coding RNA of Caenorhabditis elegans, 132 nucleotides long. NCBI's taxonomy places the organism in Eukaryota, Metazoa, Nematoda, Chromadorea, Rhabditida, Rhabditidae. The record is from Ensembl.
GGAGGAAGAAUGUGUGAAUUGAAAAAGUCAGCAGGAUUUCCCUUUUCCCACUUAUUGUAGAAUGUAGUAGAAUCUAGAUCCAGAGAUAGAGUAAACAGUUGAGGACAAAGUUAAUGGAACAUGACUGAGGCC